Molecule: long non-coding RNA, 2586 nt
Organism: Zea mays
Lineage: Eukaryota; Viridiplantae; Streptophyta; Magnoliopsida; Poales; Poaceae
Exons: 2
Source: RefSeq, a predicted model, not a curated record
CGUGCCGGCCGGUUCGUCUCCUCUGCCUCUCUUCGGUUCGGCGGCGGGGUCGGCGGUGAGUCCAGCCCGGUGAUCUCAAGUCCUUACCCAACAUCUCCUUGCGGUUUCUGUGCAAUUGCUUCGCCCUGCUAUACAAUCGAAGACAAGGGACUCUGAAAUUUGGCUGUCGACUGAUUCUGCUAGUUUCGUUCUCAUGAAAUAAAAUAUAUAUAAAAAUACUGCUGCUGCCGCCGCGGUCUUUGUGGUUUGGAGUGUGCUUUAAGUUUAAGGUGCCUGCCAUCAUACACGCCUUCAUGAUUCACCAGUUCAUCAUACCUAAUCUGAUCCUCUUUUGACUGUGCAAUGGCAGCAAGCGUCCUAGGAUGACGCGCCCGGCAUAUAUGUGUAGACAGAGGUGCUCCAUGGAGCAGGGGUGCCGUUUCAGUAGACACGGUUGUCUCUAGCCCCCAAUUUACUAUUGAUUUUACACCAACGGUGAGUCGAUGACCAUGUGCUGCUGCAUGCCUGCAUCCAGCGCAAAAAAAAUGCGCGAGUACGGCAUGCUUGCAAGGUUAAUCUGAGGUUCUUGACGCGUGAGUCCUUGGCUCUGGUUUUCGUUCCUUGGAUCACUACCUGCUUGUAUUGUACUGCUGUUUAACUGUUGGCUGUUCAAAGUUACAAUUUUCAGAGUAUCGAACGUUGAUCGUUUUCAUUUUGGUUUUAUGAUUCAUUUCUGCUUCUCGUUUUCCUUUUUUCUUCUUCUUCUUGUUUUGAGGUUCUUCGCGGUUUCCAAUGAUCAUAGAACACUGGGGUCACAGGGCACGACCUCAAGUCCUCAACAAAUUCCGUGGGGCCAUUAGCUGCUAGAUUCUGUUGUUUGCAAUGAUCGACGGCGGUCAAUGCCUCCAGCUCCACCCCCUGUAUUAUCUUGCUAUAUGAUACAUGAUCCGUGACAGACUUAAAUUUGGGAUUAUCUCGUAGACACAUUUUUCAUAUGCAACGCCUACCUAUAUUUGGAGUCAGUGUGAAUUUUCAAAUGUACAUCAUCAUUGUGAGUACUAGUAGUGACGGUGUGAGGUAAUUUCCAAUCAACUCAUGAUAUAAGACCACAUGAAGUUGUUCUAGUCUUCUUGCUAAUGCUAUUAAGAUUCAUAACAGAAUGAGCUGGAGCAAACAACUUUCUCAUCAUGUAGUGUUUGAACCAAAUAAAAGUUCAGCAUGACAUCAGUUUUUUUUGCUGUCUUCCGGGCCACCAUGGCAUACUGCCUGGCUCUAUCUUCCUGCUUUGCAAAAAGGUAACUUGACUAAAAUUUUGUCUUACUUUUUGGAUCAUGGCGUCCUGCCAUAGUUCUUAGUUUUGACACUGUCCAAGCUAAGUGCACCUGUGCUUUUGGGGGCUUCCUCUUUAGUUGUUAUAUACAAUUGCAACAAUAAGGCAUGCCCCUUGAUUUCAGGAAGCACUAAGAGGUGAUGCGAUACAUCCUGCCAAUUGUUACAUCUCAUGCAUAAUACGUACAGUCGGUCUGUGCUGUGCAAUGCUUCAUAUGUGAUUCUCUUUGGACGUCAAUGCAAGGUUUCUGACCUCUGUUUUGGAUGUGUUAUACCUCAGAUUUUAGUUUUCUGUAGCAUGACAUCAAUUGACCAUGGAACUUCAUAAUUACUUCAAGAUGCUAACAGAGGGCCAUGUUGAAGACUUGAACUAACAGAGGGCAUGAUCAUUAAUGUUGUCAAAAUUCAGAAAUACCUUGAAGAACAGCAGAGCCUUCGAUUUUGCACAAGAACAGUGUAAGAGAGUUUCAGAACCACCACAUGAUGAGACAUUCUAUAUAUAUGUUUCUCCAGACUGAGGUAUAGACAUGCAGUGAAAAGCAAAGGUACACAUUCUUGGGAAUAGUUAACAAUCUCCCAAAUUGAGGUGAAGAUUGGAGCUGAUGGUGAACAAGCAACGAAUAUACUGCAUAAUUGCGUUCAUAUCAGUGUAAAAUGGGCACAGCUAACCUGAAAAACAAAACUCAAAUGCAUAUUAUAAAAGCUGACUAUGUCACAAAUAAAGUAGGGAAAGAUGGUUACAGCUGUAUUAUAUGGGUACUUUUGGUUCAAUUGCUGCUUAGAGCCGAAAGAGAUCAAAGGACUCCAGUCCACUACCCACAGAACCCGGGCACUGCUCUCGAGAUGUUCUCGAAAGGACAAUUAUCUUGCUUAAUUAAAUAGUGACCAAAUACGCAUAGCUUCAUUGUGAAUUGGCCACUCGCUAAUUUUAUAUUUGUGUUUCUAAUCAUUCCAUAGUGUGCACCAAGGAACCAAUGGAAUUGUAUGGUCUACAACUCUAUAUUCGUGUUUCUUGACUUAGCAGGUUUACAAUGGAACGCUUUGAAAGGACAGGGUCAACUGUUUCUUGCAAGCUGGUUGAUGAAAAAUAUGCUGAUUGACAAUACACGCGAGUCCAAUUUGUUGCUAUCUGUUUAUUGCUGAAUGAUACUGUUAUUGAUAAAUUCCUGUAUGCAUGUCUUGAUGAAGUAAUGUUUAUUUGCGUUCACUCUAUUUGUAUCGAAGACUUGGAGUUUCGGUACGGAUUCAUUAUUCAAAAUAUGGGCUUGACCCACACCU